GCCUGGCUGGCUCAGUCGGUAGAGCGUAUGACUCUCAAUCUCAGGGUCAUGAGUUCAAGUCCCAUGUUGAGCA
Callorhinus ursinus (northern fur seal) is the source of this 73-nucleotide non-coding RNA. NCBI's taxonomy places the organism in Eukaryota, Metazoa, Chordata, Mammalia, Carnivora, Otariidae. The record is from the annotation of a RefSeq genome assembly.